CUCGCGAGACUUCAUCAAUCCGAACCAAAACAUAGCUAACGCGCUAAUGUGUUAGCCGCGCUGUUUUGCAGUGUGUGUAUUCAGACUGUGUGUGUAUCAGAUGGAGAACCCGGCGGAUCCUGAACCGGAGCCCAUCAGGCUGAAAUCUCUCAAAUCCAGCAGGAGCUUUACUGUCCCGCACACCGAGCGGUUGGGGAACUGCAGGAGUGUCAAAGAGUUUGAGAAACUCAACCGCAUUGGAGAGGGAACGUACGGCAUCGUGUACAGAGCCCGUGACACACGCACAAAUGAGAUUGUGGCCCUUAAGAAAGUGCGCAUGGAUAAAGAGAAGGACGGGAUCCCUAUCAGCAGUCUGAGAGAGAUCACACUGCUCCUCAGGCUCAGACAUCCGAACAUUGUGGAGCUGAAGGAGGUGGUGGUGGGGAGCCAGUUAGAGAGCUUGUUCCUGGUAAUGAGUUACUGUGAGCAGGAUUUGGCCAGCCUCCUGGAGAACAUGCAGUCUCCCUUCUCAGAGGCACAAGUGAAGUGUAUUGUUCUGCAGCUGCUCAGGGGUCUGGUGUAUCUUCAUCACAACUUCAUCCUGCACAGGGAUCUGAAGGUGUCAAAUCUUUUGAUGACAGAUAAAGGCUGUGUGAAGAUCGCGGAUUUUGGCCUGGCACGUGUUUAUGGAGUCCCUCAGCAGCCCAUGACCCCUAAAGUAGUGACUCUGUGGUACAGAGCACCUGAGCUCCUUCUGGGCACCAAGACACAGACCACUGCACUGGACAUGUGGGCAGUGGGGUGUAUCCUGGCUGAACUCCUGGCCCAUAAGCCCCUGUUGCCAGGCAGCUCAGAGAUCCAACAGCUGGAUCUGAUUGUGCAGCUGUUGGGAACACCGAACGAGAACAUCUGGCCGGGCUUCUCGCGGCUCCCCCUGGUGGGUCAGUACAGUUUAAGGAAACAGCCUUACAACAACCUGAAAAAUAAAUUCACCUGGCUGUCAGAGGCUGGACUCCGCCUCCUCAACCUGCUCUUUAUGUACAACCCCCAACGCAGGGCCUCAGCCAAGGACUGUUUAGAGAGUUCGUACUUCAAAGAGAAACCUUUGCCAUGUGAACCAGAGCUCAUGCCCACCUUCCCUCACCAUCGGAACAAACGGGCGGGGCCUAUUGCCGAGAGCCAAUCAAAACGGAGCAAACCGGGCCACUCCCUUGCAUCCUGAUCCUCGACACCCAAUCAAAAAAGAACUAUAAUCAUGCAGCCAGGAGCCAAUCAGAAGGAAGCACCUUCUCACUCUUAACAGCCAAUCAGAAGGAAGUGAUAUGUGUUAACCAGAGAUUAGAGCUUCUGCUGCACACCUGAGACAGGUCCAGUGCAGUGUGUGUGUGUGUGUGUGUGUGUGUGUUGGUAAUUAAUGCUUACACAGUGUCUCAGUUUGUACCUCAGUGUAUGAUGUUACACUUGUGUAUUUAUUACAUUUUCGCUCCACCUGCGUUGAAACCCUGAAAUCCAACAUGAAGUGAAAAUCCCUGAAUGGUAAUCUGUCCCGGUCCGAGUCCAGAUCCUCUCAACUGUCAGCUGACUGACCAGUAGACCUUAGGGCAUGUACACUGCCCUUUAGGGGACAAGCUGAGACAAACUGAGUCCACACAGUUAACACAGUAAACUAAUCACACAACAUUAAACUGGUGAUCAGGAGGUUGUGUGUUUGUUUGACCUGGUGAUCAGGAGGUUGUGUGUUUGUUUGACCCUCUGGUGAUCAGGAGGUUGUGUGUUUGUUUGACCUGGUGAUCAGGAGGUUGUGUGUUUGUUUGACCCCCUGGUGAUCAGGAGGUUGUGUGUUUGUUUGACCCCCUGGUGAUCAGGAGGUUGUGUGUUUGUUUGACCCCCUGGUGAUCAGGAGGUUGUGUGUUUGUUUGACCCCCUGGUGAUCAGGAGGUUGUGUGUUGAUAGCGUUUUGUUUGUUUUAAAUUGUUUCUUCUCAGUAAAAUCUUAUUUUUCUCUCAUUCACAUUCUCAUUUCUCUCUUACACACUG
Hemibagrus wyckioides is the source of this 2015-nucleotide RNA transcript. It is a transcript of the gene named cyclin dependent kinase 10, with no coding region annotated. The transcript has 14 exons. Lineage: Eukaryota; Metazoa; Chordata; Actinopteri; Siluriformes; Bagridae. The record is from RefSeq and is a predicted model, not a curated record.